AUUGAACGCUGGCGGCAGGCCUAACACAUGCAAGUCGAACGGUAACAGGAAUCAGCUUGCUGAUUUGCUGACGAGUGGCGGACGGGUGAGUAAUGUCUGGGAAACUGCCUGAUGGAGGGGGAUAACUACUGGAAACGGUAGCUAAUACCGCAUAACGUCGCAAGACCAAAGAGUGGGACCUUCGGGCCUCUUGCCAUCGGAUGUGCCCAGAUGGGAUUAGCUAGUAGGUGGGGUAAAGGCUCACCUAGGCGACGAUCCCUAGCUGGUCUGAGAGGAUGACCAGCCACACUGGAACUGAGACACGGUCCAGACUCCUACGGGAGGCAGCAGUGGGGAAUAUUGCACAAUGGGCGCAAGCCUGAUGCAGCCAUGCCGCGUGUAUGAAGAAGGCCUUCGGGUUGUAAAGUACUUUCAGCGGGGAGGAAGGGAGUAAAGUUAAUACCUUUGCUCAUUGACGUUACCCGCAGAAGAAGCACCGGCUAACUCCGUG
RNAcentral lists this ribosomal RNA (490 nucleotides) under uncultured bacterium. RNAcentral's name for it is "partial 16S ribosomal RNA". It matches the Rfam family "Bacterial small subunit ribosomal RNA", at positions 30 to 507 of the family's 1533-position model. The record is from RNAcentral.